UACGUAGGGGGCAAGCGUUAUCCGGAUUUACUGGGUGUAAAGGGAGCGUAGACGGUGCAGCAAGUCUGAUGUGAAAGGUCGGGGCCCAACCCCGGGACUGCAUUGGAAACUGUUGAACUGGAGUACAGGAGAGGUAAGCGGAAUUCCUAGUGUAGCGGUGAAAUGCUUAGAUAUUGCGCAGAACUCCGAUUGCGAAGGCAGCAUACCGGCGGCGAUCUGACGCUGAGGCACGAAAGCGUGGGUAUCGAACAGG
Molecule: ribosomal RNA, 253 nt
Filed under: uncultured Eubacteriales bacterium
Lineage: Bacteria; Bacillati; Bacillota; Clostridia; Eubacteriales
Description: uncultured Clostridiales bacterium partial 16S ribosomal RNA
Rfam family: Bacterial small subunit ribosomal RNA
Source: RNAcentral